UACAGAGGGUGCAAGCGUUAAUCGGAAUUACUGGGCGUAAAGCGCACGUAGGCGGUUUUUUAAGUCAGAUGUGAAAGCCCCGGGCUCAACCUGGGAAUUGCAUUUGAAACUGGGAAACUAGAGUGUGUGAGAGGGGGGUAGAAUUCCAAGUGUAGCGGUGAAAUGCGUAGAUAUGCGGAGGAACACCAAUGGCGAAGGCGGCCCCCUGGCACAACACUGACGCUCAGGUGCGAAAGCGUGGGGAGCAAACAGG
RNAcentral lists this ribosomal RNA (253 nucleotides) under uncultured bacterium. RNAcentral's name for it is "partial 16S ribosomal RNA". It matches the Rfam family "Bacterial small subunit ribosomal RNA", at positions 524 to 776 of the family's 1533-position model. The record is from RNAcentral.